RNAcentral lists this ribosomal RNA (515 nucleotides) under Bolitoglossa copinhorum. RNAcentral describes it as "partial large subunit ribosomal RNA". It matches the Rfam family "Bacterial large subunit ribosomal RNA", at positions 1816 to 2597 of the family's 2925-position model. Lineage: Eukaryota; Metazoa; Chordata; Amphibia; Caudata; Plethodontidae. The record is from RNAcentral.
CGCCUUUUGUAAUAUACAAAUAUAAAAGGUCCUGCCUGCCCAAUGACUUGUUUUAAUGGCCGCGGUAUUGUGACCGUGCAAAGGUAGCGUAAUCAUUUGUCUUUUAAAUAAAGACCAGUAUGAACGGCAAGACGAAAGCCUCACUGUCUCCCUAGCCCAAUCAAUGAAAUUGAUCUUCCCGUGCAGAAGCGGGAAUAUAAAUAUAAGACGAGAAGACCCUGUGGAGCUUUAAACUACUAACUAACAUCCGCAAAUGCUUUAGUUACAAGUUUUAGGUUGGGGCGACCAUGAGGUAUAAUAAAACCCUCACGAUAUAACUAAGAAGGACACUUCAAUAUAACACAUAAUACAUUGACCCAACAAUUGAUCAACGAACCAAGUUACCCCAGGGAUAACAGCGCAAUCUACUCAAAGAGUCCAUAUCGACGAGCAGGUUUACGACCUCGAUGUUGGAUCAGGACCCCCAAAUAGCGCAACAGUUAUUAAAGGUUCGUUUGUUCAACGAUUAAAGUCCU